This 267-nucleotide unclassified non-coding RNA is filed under the name plant metagenome. RNAcentral describes it as "partial contains small subunit ribosomal RNA, internal transcribed spacer 1, and 5.8S ribosomal RNA". The record is from RNAcentral.
UUUCCGUAGGUGAACCAGCGGAAGGAUCAUUAUCGUACAAAAUGUGAGGGGCAUGCGAAGUCUGUGGCUGACCCAAAAGUCGUGCACGCCGGAGUGUGUCCUCUUGCAUAAUAAUCCAUCUCACCCUUUGUGCAUCACCGCGUGGGCACCCUUCGGGAUCAUCUCGGAGGGGGGCUCGCGGCUACACAAAACCCCCCCUUUUAAAAGUGUAGAAUGACCACAUUUAUGCAAUCAAUACAACUUUCAACAACGGAUCUCUUGGCUCUG